RNAcentral lists this non-coding RNA (31 nucleotides) under Mus musculus (house mouse). Lineage: Eukaryota; Metazoa; Chordata; Mammalia; Rodentia; Muridae. The record is from RNAcentral.
UACACUCCAAGCUUUAACAGUAUCUCAGUCA